UAUUUUCCUUUUUUGCCAGCAGCCGCGGUAAUACGGAAGAUGCGAGCGUUAUCCGGAUUUAUUGGGUUUAAAGGGAGCGUAGGCGGGCUUUUAAGUCAGCGGUCAAAUGUCACGGCUCAACCGUGGCCAGCCGUUGAAACUGUAAGCCUUGAGUCUGCACAGGGCACAUGGAAUUCGUGGUGUAGCGGUGAAAUGCUUAGAUAUCACGAAGAACUCCGAUCGCGAAGGCAUUGUGCCGGGGCAUAACUGACGCUGAGGCUCGAAAGUGCGGGUAUCAAACAGG
This 283-nucleotide ribosomal RNA is filed under the name Paraprevotella clara YIT 11840. RNAcentral's name for it is "partial 16S ribosomal RNA". It matches the Rfam family "Bacterial small subunit ribosomal RNA", at positions 491 to 776 of the family's 1533-position model. The record is from RNAcentral. Lineage: Bacteria; Pseudomonadati; Bacteroidota; Bacteroidia; Bacteroidales; Prevotellaceae.